AUUGAACGCUGGCGGCAUGCCUAACACAUGCAAGUCGAGCGGAUGAAGCGAGCUUGCUCCUGGAUUCAUCGGCGGACGGUUGAGUAAUGCCUAUGAAUCUGCCUGGUCGUCGGGGAUAACGUCCGAAUACGGGCGCUAAUCCCGCAUACGUCCUGAUAUCGCCAUUGGGUGAUCUUCGGACCUCUCGCUAUCAUAUUAGCCUAGGUCGGAUGAGCUAGUUGGUGGGGUAAAUGCCUUCCAAGGCGACGAUCCGUAACUGGUCUGAGAGGAUGGUCAGUCACAUGGGAAGAGAGAAAGGGCACAGACUCCUAAGGGAGGAAACAGUGGGGAAUAUUAGACAAUGGGGGAGAGCAUGAUACAGCAAUGCCGCGUGUGUGAAGAAGGUGUUAGGAUUGGAAAGCAAUGUAAGUUGGGAGGAAGGGAAGUAAGUUUAUACGUGGCUGUAAUGACGGUACCAACAGAAUAAGCACCGGCUAACUUCGUG
RNAcentral lists this ribosomal RNA (484 nucleotides) under uncultured bacterium. RNAcentral's name for it is "partial 16S ribosomal RNA". It matches the Rfam family "Bacterial small subunit ribosomal RNA", at positions 30 to 507 of the family's 1533-position model. The record is from RNAcentral.